AUGAAUCUCCUCGAUUGGAACUAUCAGGGAUUGGGGUUGGACCCGACAGUUGGAGAACUAAGGGACCUGAUUAGGUCAUACAACCCAGCGGUGGUGUUCCUGAGCGAGACUAAGAAGAAGGCGCGAGCUAUGGAAAAAGUUAAAUGGAGCUUGGGGUUCUGUCAUGGAAUUGCUGUGGACUGUGAGGGUAGUAGUGGUGGAUUAGCUCUACAUUGGAGGGGUCAUAUUUCGGUCACAAUUAGACUGUGGUGCCAGUACUAUAUUGAUGUGGAAAUCACCUCAAAGGUAAGAACCAUAAGAUUCACUGGAAUCUACGGAGAACCUCGAACGGAGCAUAGACGGAAACAUGGGAUGCACUUCGUUAUUUGA
Molecule: ribosomal RNA, 369 nt
Filed under: Triticum aestivum (bread wheat)
Lineage: Eukaryota; Viridiplantae; Streptophyta; Magnoliopsida; Poales; Poaceae
Description: partial small subunit ribosomal RNA
Source: RNAcentral